RNAcentral lists this ribosomal RNA (574 nucleotides) under uncultured archaeon. Its description in RNAcentral is "bacterial SSU rRNA". It matches the Rfam family "Archaeal small subunit ribosomal RNA", at positions 227 to 801 of the family's 1478-position model. The record is from RNAcentral.
AGGUAGUUGGUUAGGUAAUGGCUUACCAAGCCUAUGAUCUGUACGGGUUGUGAGAGCAAGAGCCCGGAGAUGGAACCUGAGACAAGGUUCCAGGCCCUACGGGGUGCAGCAGGCGCGAAACCUCCGCAAUGUGAGAAAUCGCGACGGGGGGAUCCCAAGUGCCAUUCUUAACGGGAUGGCUUUUCUUAAGUGUAAAAAGCUUUUGGAAUAAGAGCUGGGCAAGACCGGUGCCAGCCGCCGCGGUAACACCGGCAGCUCUAGUGGUAACAAUUUUUAUUGGGCCUAAAGCGUCCGUAGCCGGUUUAAUAAGUCUCUGGUGAAAUCCUGUAGCUUAACUGUGGGAAUUGCUGGAGAUACUAUUAGACUUGAGACCGGGAGAGGUUAGAGGUACUCCCAGGGUAGAGGUGAAAUUCUGUAAUCCUGGGAGGACCGCCUGUUGCGAAGGCGUCUAACUGGAACGGUUCUGACGGUGAGGGACGAAAGUUAGGGGCGCGAACCGGAUUAGAUACCCGGGUAGUCCUAACUGUAAACGAUGCGGACUUGGUGUUGGGGUGGCUUUGAGCUGCUCCAGUGC